Macaca fascicularis (crab-eating macaque) is the source of this 148-nucleotide unclassified non-coding RNA. It matches the Rfam family "Metazoan signal recognition particle RNA". From Rfam's summary of the family: The signal recognition particle (SRP) is a universally conserved ribonucleoprotein. The record is from Ensembl. NCBI's taxonomy places the organism in Eukaryota, Metazoa, Chordata, Mammalia, Primates, Cercopithecidae.
GCCGGGUGUGGUGCCUUGCACCUGUAAUCCCAGCUACUCCGGAGGCUGAGGUUGGAGAAUCACUUGAACCCAGGAGGUGGAGAUUGCAGUGAGCUGAGAUCACACCCCUGCACUCCAACCUGGGUGACAGAGUGAGAUUCCAUCUCAA